AUUGAACGCUGGCGGCAGGCCUAACACAUGCAAGUCGGGCGAGCGGCGGACGGGUGCGUAAUGUAUGGGGAUCUGCCUGAUGGAGGGGGAUAACUACUGGAAACGGUAGCUAAUACCGCAUACCAUCAGAUGAACCCAUAUGGGAUUAGCUAGUAGGUGAGGUAACGGCUUACCUAGGCGACGAUCCCUAGCUGGUCUGAGAGGAUGAUCAGGCACACUGGGCCUGGGAUACGGCCCGUACUCCUACGGGAGGCAGCAGUGGGGGAUAUUGCACAAUGGGCGAAAGCCUGAUGCAGCGACGCCGCGUGGGGUAUGAAGGCUUGCGGGUUGUAAACCUCUUUCGCUAGCGAACGGGUAGGUGGAGAAGAAGCGCCGGCUAACUACGUGCCAGCAGCCGCGGUAAUAC
RNAcentral lists this ribosomal RNA (406 nucleotides) under uncultured bacterium. Its description in RNAcentral is "partial 16S ribosomal RNA". It matches the Rfam family "Bacterial small subunit ribosomal RNA", at positions 30 to 526 of the family's 1533-position model. The record is from RNAcentral.